Molecule: ribosomal RNA, 400 nt
Filed under: uncultured bacterium
Lineage: Bacteria
Description: bacterial SSU rRNA
Rfam family: Bacterial small subunit ribosomal RNA
Source: RNAcentral
UCAAGAAUAUUCCCCAAUGGACGCAAGUCUGAGGGAGCGACGCCGCGUGCAGGAAGAAGGUUUUCGGAUUGUAAACUGCUUUUCCAAGGGAAAAAAUUUGAUGGUACCUUGGGAAUAAGCCACUGUUAACUACGUGCCAGCAACAGCGGUAAUACGUAGGUGGCAAGCGUUAUCCGGAUUUAUUGGGCGUAAAGAGCUCAACGGUGGUUUUGAAAGUUAGAAGUUAAAUACCAAUGCUUAACAUUGGGAAUGCUUUUAAUACUUCAAGACUAGAGGGUAGAAGAGGUAAGCGGAAUGGUCGGUGUAGCGGUAAAAUGCGAUAAUAUCGACUAGAACGCCAAAGGCGAAAGCAGCUUACUGGUAUACCCCUGACACUUCAAGAGCGAAAGCGUGGGGAGCA